ACGGAGUUACAAAGGACGACAUAGACCGAUAUUUUGCGUAAGAGGAUCCAAGAAGGUAAUAAUCCUGUAGUCGAAAAUGUUGUCUCUCUUGAGUGGAUCCUGAGUACGACGGAGCACGUGAAAUUCCGUCGGAAUCUGGGAGGACCAUCUCCUAAGGCUAAAUACUCUCUAGUGACCGAUAGUGAACCAGUACCGUGAGGGAAAGGUGAAAAGCACCCCGGAAGGGGAGUGAAAUAGAACCUGAAACCGUGUGCUUACAAGUAGUCAGAGCCCGUUAAUGGGUGAUGGCGUGCCUUUUGUAGAAUGAACCGGCGAGUUACGAUUUGAUGCAAGGUUAAGCAGUAAAUGUGGAGCCGUAGCGAAAGCGAGUCUGAAUAGGGCGUUUAGUAUUUGGUCGUAGACCCGAAACCAGGUGAUCUACCCUUGGUCAGGUUGAAGUUCAAGGAACACUGAAUGGAAGACCCAACCGACUUACGUUGAAAAGUGAACGGAUGAACUGAGGGUAACCGAAAAAUUCCCAUCCAACCUGGAGAUAACUGGUUCUCUUCCAAAUAAGUUUAAGGCUUACCUCCAGUGAUGAUUAAUGGAAGGUAAACACUGGUUUGGACAAGGGGCCCCUUUCGGGUACCCGAAAUUGGACAAAAUUCCAAAUGCCGUUUAAUUUAACUUGGGAGUCACAACAUGGGUGAUCAUAAGGUCCUUUUUCGAAAGGGAAACAGCCCAACACCACCUCUUAGGGUCCCAAAAAUAUAUGUCUAGGUGAAAAAGGUUUGUGCGUUGCCCAGAAAACAACUAGGAUGUUCGCUUAGAAGAACCCAUCAUUUAAAGAGUGCGUAAUAGCUCACUAGUGGAGUGACACUGCGCCGAAAAUGUACCGGGGCUAAACAUAUUACCGAAGCUGUGGAUUGUCCUUUGGACAAUGGUAGGAGAGCGUUCUAAGGGCGUUGAAGCAUGAUCGUAAGGACAUGUGGAGCGCUUAGAAGUGAGAAUGCCGGUGUGAGUAGCGAAAGACGGGUGAGAAUCCCGUCCACCGAUUGACUAAGGUUUCCAGAGGAAGGCUCGUCCGCUCUGGGUUAGUCGGGUCCUAAGCUGAGGCCCGACAGGCGUAGGCGAUGGAUAACAGGUUGAUAUUCCUGUACCACCUAUAAUCGUUUUAAUCGAUGGGGGGACGCAGUAGAAUAGGCGAAGCGUGCGAUUGGAUUGCACGUCUAAGCAGUAA
This 1219-nucleotide ribosomal RNA is filed under the name Staphylococcus aureus. RNAcentral describes it as "partial 23S ribosomal RNA". It matches the Rfam family "Bacterial large subunit ribosomal RNA", at positions 309 to 1522 of the family's 2925-position model. Lineage: Bacteria; Bacillati; Bacillota; Bacilli; Caryophanales; Staphylococcaceae. The record is from RNAcentral.